This 65-nucleotide transfer RNA is filed under the name Nedyus quadrimaculatus. Its description in RNAcentral is "tRNA-Val". Lineage: Eukaryota; Metazoa; Arthropoda; Insecta; Coleoptera; Curculionidae. The record is from RNAcentral.
CAGAUUAAAGCUUUUUUUGAAGCGUUUUAGUUACAUUAAAAGGAAUACUUAUUUGUAUAAUUUGA